ACCAGACUUCCUACGGGAGGCAGCAGUGGGGAAUAUUGCACAAUGGGGGAAACCCUGAUGCAGCAACGCCGCGUGAGUGAAGAAGUAUUUCGGUAUGUAAAGCUCUAUCAGCAGGAAAGAAAAUGACGGUACCUGACUAAGAAGCCCCGGCUAACUACGUGCCAGCAGCCGCGGUAAUACGUAGGGGGCAAGCGUUAUCCGGAUUUACUGGGUGUAAAGGGAGCGUAGACGGCAGUGCAAGUCCGGAGUGAAAGCCCGGGGCUCAACCCUGGGACUGCUCUGGAAACUGUAAGGCUGGAGUGCGGGAGGGGCAGGCGGAAUUCCUGGUGUAGCGGUGAAAUGCGUAGAUAUCAGGAGGAACACCGGCGGCGAAGGCGGCCUGCUGGACCGUAACUGACGUUGAGGCUCGAAAGCGUGGGGAGCAAACAGGAUUAGAUACCCCAGUACC
RNAcentral lists this ribosomal RNA (448 nucleotides) under uncultured bacterium. RNAcentral describes it as "bacterial SSU rRNA". It matches the Rfam family "Bacterial small subunit ribosomal RNA", at positions 330 to 794 of the family's 1533-position model. The record is from RNAcentral.